This 446-nucleotide ribosomal RNA is filed under the name uncultured bacterium. RNAcentral describes it as "partial 16S ribosomal RNA". It matches the Rfam family "Bacterial small subunit ribosomal RNA", at positions 338 to 795 of the family's 1533-position model. The record is from RNAcentral.
CCUACGGGUGGCAGCAGUCGAGAAUCAUUCACAAUGGGGGAAACCCUGAUGGUGCGACGCCGCGUGGGGGAAUGAAGGUCUUCGGAUUGUAAACCCCUGUCAUGUGGGAGCAAAUUAAAAAGAUAGUACCACAAGAGGAAGAGACGGCUAACUCUGUGCCAGCAGCCGCGGUAAUACAGAGGUCUCAAGCGUUGUUCGGAAUCACUGGGCGUAAGGCGUGCGUAGGCGGUUUAGUAAGUCGUGUGUGAAAGGCGCGGGCUCAACCCGCGGACGGCACAUGAUACUGCGAGACUAGAGUAAUGGAGGGGGAACCGGAAUUCUCGGUGUAGCAGUGAAAUGCGUAGAUAUCGAGAGGAACACUCGUGGCGAAGGCGGGUUCCUGGACAUUAACUGACGCUGAGGCACGAAGGCCAGGGGAGCGAAAGGGAUUAGAUACCCGUGUAGUC